AAACAGCUUAGGAUAUAGGCUGAUGACAGUAUGAAAGCUGUUUGGAGCUGUAAAUACGGAUUUUUUCCUCACUGCUUUUCCCCCGUUUACAUGCGUAUUGAUCUUGAUGAGAAAGCUCACUCAGAGAAGUAGUCAAGAAAGCAAUAUAUUGAAAAUAAAGCCAUGUAUGUAGCAAGGAAGGUAUUCAAGGUGCCCACUUUGAUGACUUGUACUCGUGCCUUUGAUCCCCACUGUAGAAAAUGCUCUGCUCCAUUUCAAAAGAGAUUGCCUUGUGCCCCAUUUGUUGGCCUUUGGAUCAAACCAGCAACAGACCUCACAGAUAGAAUUCCACCAUUAGCCAUUCACAAAGAGGUCUUCAAUAAUCUUGUCUGCUGUCCCCACCAGAUAAAUUGCGCAGUGUACUAUUCAUGAUUGUGGGGACAUCUUCAACAGAGGUUGGUUUUCUUUCUCAGUGAAACUGUCUGCUUUUGGUUUGCUCUACAAUUUGUUUCCAGAGUUUCAAGGGCCAGUGACCUGCUUCUACAUUGAUUUCUCAUCUUGGGGAGAUAAGCACCAUGUAGGUAACAUACAUUUUACUCCAUGUCAAUAUGUAAUAUUAGCCUGAGGUAUUUGAAUUCCAACAGAAGAAUAUUGUCUCCUGCCAUUAAGAGGAACACAGGAAGAGAUGUACAUUCUUAUUGCCAUAUACACAGGCCAGUGAAUGUACUUACCUAGCACACCUUUUAUAGAAGAAUCAACACUAGACCAGUCUCCACCUGACGUAAGGAUUUUAGGUUUGAAUCUCAAUCUAACCCAAGCUCAAUGCAGCCUCUCUUGUUCCUGUAUAUAAAUGAAAAUGUCAGUCCUUAGUUGCUAUGGUCUAGCUCUUCUGGUGGUUCUUGAGCUUCCUAGGUCAUCUACUUAUAUGCUUAUGUCUGUAGCUUAAGUUUUC
This 931-nucleotide long non-coding RNA is filed under the name Vulpes vulpes (red fox). Its description in RNAcentral is "lncRNA (ENSVVUG00000009533.1)". Lineage: Eukaryota; Metazoa; Chordata; Mammalia; Carnivora; Canidae. The record is from RNAcentral.